Molecule: transfer RNA, 66 nt
Filed under: Batrachoseps attenuatus (California slender salamander)
Lineage: Eukaryota; Metazoa; Chordata; Amphibia; Caudata; Plethodontidae
Description: tRNA-Tyr
Source: RNAcentral
GGUAAGGUGGCCGAAAUAGGUGUUGAGUUGUAGCCUCAUUUAUAAAGGUGGUCCCUUUCCUUACCA